GAGUGAACGCUGGCGGUAGGCCUAACCCAUGCAAGUCGAACGGCAGCACAGUAAGAGCUUGCUCUUACGGGUGGCGAGUGGCGGACGGGUGAGGAAUACAUCGGAAUCUACUUUUUCGUGGGGGAUAACGUAGGGAAACUUACGCUAAUACCGCAUACGACCUACGGGUGAAAGCAGGGGAUCUUCGGACCUUGCGCGAUUGAAUGAGCCGAUGUCGGAUUAGCUAGUUGGCGGGGUAAAGGCCCACCAAGGCGACGAUCCGUAGCUGGUCUGAGAGGAUGAUCAGCCACACUGGAACUGAGACACGGUCCAGACUCCUACGGGAGGCAGCAGUGGGGAAUACUGGACAAUGGGCGCAAGCCUGAUCCAGCCAUACCGCGUGGGUGAAGAAGGCCUUCGGGUUGUAAAGCCCUUUUGUUGGGAAAGAAAAGCAGCAGGUUAAUACCCCGCUGUUCUGACGGUACCCAAAGAAUAAGCACCGGCUAACUUCGUG
This 493-nucleotide ribosomal RNA is filed under the name uncultured bacterium. RNAcentral describes it as "partial 16S ribosomal RNA". It matches the Rfam family "Bacterial small subunit ribosomal RNA", at positions 27 to 507 of the family's 1533-position model. The record is from RNAcentral.